AUGCUGAUCUGCACAGAGGAGGCGUCCCAGGAUAUCCACCUGCAAGUCAUCUCCAGGACACUCGGCAUCUGCCCUUCUGUGGGCCCUCCUCACUGUCCUCUGGAGCUGCAACUCAUUGAUUCAGUGGUGAGUGAAUUGCCUGGCCCUCGGGUCUCUCUGGCCUCCCAGCAGCUAGCAGAGGAGCCAGUCUUUGGUUUGCCUCCUCAGGCAAUCCUGCCCUCAUUUUCCCCUUCUCUGGCCGGUGAAGACCGCAGGCCAAGAAUACGCUUAGUCUUUUUUCCUAGCAUUCAGCCCCAGCUAUGCCUUCAUGCUGCGAGGAAGUCGAGAUCCAGGAAAAACUGUGGUAUGCCAUGUUCUGCACUAAGCGUGUGAAAUGUAGACAUGCACGUUCACAGGGUUUCUUUUUCUCCUUCCUUAAUGCACAAGGAGCUUGAGGUUUUUAGGAAUGCUGGAUUUAACUAAAAAUAGUCCAGGCUGUUCAGUGGGCUAUGGCAGAUUCCUCCCUCCCAAGAGAAUUGGCUUUGUUCUGAGAUGGAGCCAAGGGUCAAGGUAAAAAAACAUCUUGCGGGGGGGAAAAAAGCUUAAUUGCAGAUUAGAAAAGAUUGCUUCCAAAAAAUUGUAUCGACCUUUUGCUGCUGCAGCCUGGCUGUUUUGCUUCUCCAGGUUCAGUCAGACUUUGGUGUGUGCUGGUGGGGUAUAUGUUACCUUGAGGCUUCGCUCUGUGCUUUCACCCGUGUCUUUUUUGUGGCCUGUGUGGCCAGAGCUUACUCAUGGCAAGAAUCAGGAAGCAAACAUUUCCUUCCGCUCCUGGCUGCAUAUUGUACUUGUGGUGGAUGUUGAGCCAUGAUGCUGCCCUCCGUCUGUGGAGCAGCAUAAAGGCUGCUCUUGGGGCUUGUCUCCCUGACAGUACCAUGGACCUACAAGAGUCAUAUAUAACUUUUGCAGUCCUGCUGCAAUUACAGUAAGGAAUAAAAUUGCAAUGUAUCUUCUCUGAGAAGGCUGU
This 1003-nucleotide long non-coding RNA is filed under the name Struthio camelus australis. Its description in RNAcentral is "lncRNA (ENSSCUG00000007935.1)". Lineage: Eukaryota; Metazoa; Chordata; Aves; Struthioniformes; Struthionidae. The record is from RNAcentral.